GACGAACGCUGGCGGCGUGCUUAACACAUGCAAGUCGAACGGAAAGGCCCUGCUUUUGUGGGGUGCUCGAGUGGCGAACGGGUGAGUAACACGUGAGUAACCUGCCCUUGACUUUGGGAUAACUUCAGGAAACUGGGGCUAAUACCGGAUAGGAGCUCCUGCUGCAUGGUGGGGGUUGGAAAGUUUCGGCGGUUGGGGAUGGACUCGCGGCUUAUCAGCUUGUUGGUGGGGUAGUGGCUUACCAAGGCUUUGACGGGUAGCCAGCCUGAGAGGGUGACCGGCCACAUUGUGACUGAGAUACGGCCCAGACUCCUACGGGAGGCAGCAGUGGGGAAUAUUGCACAAUGGGCGGAAGCCUGAUGCAGCAACGCCGCGUGCGGGAUGACGGCCUUCGGGUUGUAAACCGCUUUCGCCUGUGACGAAGCGUGAGUGACGGUAAUGGGUAAAGAAGCACCGGCUAACUACGUG
RNAcentral lists this ribosomal RNA (468 nucleotides) under uncultured bacterium. RNAcentral's name for it is "partial 16S ribosomal RNA". It matches the Rfam family "Bacterial small subunit ribosomal RNA", at positions 28 to 507 of the family's 1533-position model. The record is from RNAcentral.